AAGGCCAAGCCAGGCUGUGGGGCAGGCAGUCCCAACCUGACCCCAGCCCCACCACUCACCUGUCAGUGAAGGGGCUUGGCUUCAAAGGCAUGGGCUUCUUUAUCUGGGAAAGGGGUUGACAGGCGAGGAGUGGAUGCAAGAAUGGAAUAGGUGCAGGAGGUCCCACGGGGUAGAAGCUAGAUUAGCGGCAGCCCUUCCACUGGGGAAACCCCUGCUGUCCUCAAAUGGUUGCUCCCUUUACGAAGGUGUUUCCUGUGAUGCAGACGUGCAGGCUGGGCAGAGAAAGGAGACUCGGGGAUCCCCCAGUGAGGCCCCCCGUGCACAUCCGGCUGACACACUGGGUCUAAUUCCCUGCCCCUUGGACUCACUCCUUCUCCGCUGUACUCAAGCUACAGACUACUGACUCCUUCUCUGCUGACCCUGGGGGGCCCUGUGAUGCCUUGUGAUCAUCUGCAGACCUCAGGAGCAGGAGGUCCAGCACAACUCAAGAUGGGCUGUAAAAGUCAGCGUGCAGGGGUUCUAUGGCAGGAGAGCAAGAAUCUGCUGUGUCCCUGGGACACUACGCAGGGGUAGGGGCAGGGGGCACAGGGCACCCAAGAAGGGGCGGUAGCAGGGGCUGUUCCUCCCAGUUUCACUUACCAGAAUCCAAGCCCCAAGCUAAGAACUUCAUCUGGAUGGAUUGGGAAUUUACCUGACUCACCUGCCAAACACUGACUUUGUGCCAAUUGACAUGUUCCACAUUAAUUAGUCUUAAUAACAAGUGUCCUACAGUGCUUGCAAGAUAGUAUGACUGGAAUAGAGAGUAUUUCCUUGUUCUGGGUAAGAGGUAUUCUCGAAUUCAUCACUUAGUAAACAAAGGGGGAUCUUCAUAAGGGUGUCAACAAGGCCCUUGGAGCAGGAACCAGCAGGA
Molecule: long non-coding RNA, 910 nt
Filed under: Mustela putorius furo (domestic ferret)
Lineage: Eukaryota; Metazoa; Chordata; Mammalia; Carnivora; Mustelidae
Description: lncRNA (ENSMPUG00000025035.1)
Source: RNAcentral